AGCUCCAAUAGCGUAUAUUAAAUUUGUUGCUGUUAAAAAGCUCGUAGUCGAACUUCGGCUAUCGUCAGCCGGUCCGCUCUCUGAGUGUGUACUGGAACUGAUGGUGGCUUAACCUCCUGGUGAACUUGCAUGCACUUUAUUGGGUGUGCAAGGGAACCCGGACUUUUACUUUGAAUAAAUCAGAGUGUUCAAAGCAGGCAUGUUUGCCCGAAUGUUACAGCAUGGAAUAAUAGAAUAAGACGUGUGUCUCUAUUGGUCUUUUAGAGACACCGUAAUGAUAAAUAGGGGCGGUUGGGGGCAUUUGUAUUCAAUUGCUAGAGGUGAAAUUCUUGGAUUUAUUGAAGACAAACUACUGCGAAAGCAUUUGCCAAGGACGCUUUCA
This 382-nucleotide ribosomal RNA is filed under the name uncultured eukaryote. RNAcentral's name for it is "SSU rRNA". It matches the Rfam family "Eukaryotic small subunit ribosomal RNA", at positions 587 to 972 of the family's 1831-position model. The record is from RNAcentral.